GCUUGCUUUAUCUGAUUUACAAACUAAGGCUGAAAGAGAGAUUAGCAAAGCUCAAAAACUUAUCUCUGAAAAAGAUGUUGAACUACUUGCUGCUGAAGAAAGCCUUUCUGGAUUGGUGGAGGUUAAAAUCCAAUACACUGGGGAUGGUGAAAUUGUGGAGGUGGCAGGUAGCUUCAGUGGUUGGCAUCACCCGAUUAAAAUGGAUCCUCAGCCAUCUUCUAGCAAUUCAGAUACUACAGGAUCAAGGUUUAAGUCUAUCAUUUGAUAAAUAUUGCCUGCAUAUUCAAACAUAAUUUCCUUUUUUUUUCAUCAUUUUGAGGUAGCUAAUUAUCUCUGUUAAGGAAUUUCAACUUUACUCCCAUUCUUUGGAACACUGUUAAUUGCAUCAAAUUAUCAAAUUCAUUCUGUUUCUGUUUGAUUUCCUGUGUUUUCUUUUGAUGUAAAAUAUGGCUAGCUUCGAGAUUAUGGUCAUUGCAAAACAUUUGUGGCAAUUUAUCAAAUUUUGGGAAUGCUGAUGUAGCAGAUAAAUGGACCAAAAUAUGAACAGAAUGGCUUUUCCUUUUCUUGUUUUGGAGCAAAAUGUUUCUGGAAAAGGUUUUUGUUAUGGUCCUCAUGUAACAUCAGCUAUGUGGAAACUGGAUGCUAGAGGUGGGUCGAUAGGUACAAAACCAUUGUUGGAAAAUUUUUGCCUAAAGUGGGUCUAGUAGACUGAGCCAAUUGUUUUGAAUCAAAAUCACAAAAAGUGUAUUAGAAUAAAACAAGUUAUGAAAUAAAAUUUGAAAUUUUGCAAAAUCAUUUGUUUGGUCGAUAUAUGUAGGUAUUUGACCUGGUUUAGGCAAGAAAAAUGCCAUGAGGUUGCUUUGUAAGUUUCUUUCAGGCAUGCUGCAGAACAAAGUGAUUCUGUUGUAGAAUUCUGUUAUACAAUAGUCAUUAAUGCAUCUUGUGCUGAUGUUAGAGCAAUUAUAUCAUUUUGAUUUCUGAAUUUUCCAAGAAAUGUGAACCUUUCCAAGUUCUUUUUUUGCUGUGUUGUCUUUUCUCACUCUAUCAUGCUAUGAAUCUCCACCUCUUUUUUUUUCUUCUCCGUUCCUAUAAUUUUUUCUAGAAUUGGUGAGGAAUAAUAAACCCACUGGUCAAAUGUUUUCCAGGAAAUCCAGAUUUUGGUCAACAAUGCUGUGGCUUUAUCCAGGUGUAUAUG
RNAcentral lists this unclassified non-coding RNA (1195 nucleotides) under Hevea brasiliensis (rubber tree). Lineage: Eukaryota; Viridiplantae; Streptophyta; Magnoliopsida; Malpighiales; Euphorbiaceae. The record is from RNAcentral.